CCUACGGGUGGCAGCAGUCGAGAAUCAUUCACAAUGGGGGAAACCCUGAUGGUGCGACGCCGCGUGGGGGAAUGAAGGUCUGCGGAUUGUAAACCCCUGUCAUGUGGGAGCAAAUGAAAAAGAUAGUACCACAAGAGGAAGAGACGGCUAACUCUGUACCAGCACCCGCGGUAAUACAGAGGGCUCAAGCGUUGUUCGGAAUCACGGGGCGUAAAGCGUGCGUGGGUGGUGUAGUAAGUCGUGGGUUAAAGGGGCGGGCUGCACCCGCGGACGGCAGAUGAUACUGCGAGACUAGAGUAAGGGAGGGGGAAGCGGAAUUCUCGGUGUAGCAGUGAAAUGCGUAGAGAUCGAGCGGAACACUCGUGGCGAAGGCGGGUUCCUGGACAUUAACUGACGCUGAGGCACGAAGGCCAGGGGAGCGAAAGGGAUUAGAUACCCUAGUAGUC
This 446-nucleotide ribosomal RNA is filed under the name uncultured bacterium. RNAcentral's name for it is "partial 16S ribosomal RNA". It matches the Rfam family "Bacterial small subunit ribosomal RNA", at positions 338 to 795 of the family's 1533-position model. The record is from RNAcentral.